Molecule: ribosomal RNA, 505 nt
Filed under: uncultured bacterium
Lineage: Bacteria
Description: partial 16S ribosomal RNA
Rfam family: Bacterial small subunit ribosomal RNA
Source: RNAcentral
AUUGAACGCUGGCGGCAUGCCUUACACAUGCAAGUCGAACGGCAGCAUGGAAGAGCUUGCUCUUCUGAUGGCGAGUGGCGAACGGGUGAGUAAAGCAUCGGAACGUACCGUGUAGUGGGGGAUAACGUAGCGAAAGUUACGCUAAUACCGCAUACGCACUGAGGUGGAAAGCAGGGGAUCGCAAGACCUUGCGCUAUACGAGCGGCCGAUGUCAGAUUAGCUAGUUGGUAGGGUAAAGGCCUACCAAGGCGACGAUCUGUAGCGGGUCUGAGAGGAUGAUCCGCCACACUGGGACUGAGGCACGGCCCAGACUCCUACGGGAGGCAGCAGUGGGGAAUUUUGGACAAUGGGGGAAACCCUGAGCCAGCCAUGCCGCGUGAGUGAAGAAGGCCUUCGGGUUGUAAGCUCUUUCGGCUGGGAAGAAAUCGCACAGGCUAAUACUCUGUGUGGAUGACGGUACCAGCAUAAGAAGCACCGGCUAACUACGUGCCAGCCGCCGCAGUAA